AUUCGUAUGAGCCUCAUGGAAACUACUGUCGCUACCACAGAAAAAUUGCGAUGUCAUUAAAUCAUCAUCCUUGUGGUAAUUCUGUUUAAUUUCUCUCUACGAAAUAUCUUCGCGCAUUCUACCAAAGAUUCCGUGUUAGAAUUCCAAGCUUUUAUUGCAAUUGAACACCUAAAAGAAAAUAAUGGCGAUCACAAAUCACUCUACGAAAUUGAUGAACUUCAUCGCGUUGUGGAACAUUUACACGUCUUCUUAAGCCUCUAAAAUGCGAUGCAAAUGUAGUUACAGCCUUAACGUUUACCGAUGCCCGCCCGCUACGAGCAGAAAUGUGAACUUUAGUGUACCUAAAAACAGUAAUAUCAGUAAUAUAACUAAUAUGCUAGGAGAAACGAGGAAAAAUGGAUAUAUCGUUCUAGUUACGCCCCAAUUUUCUGUAUGGCCCGGAUUGCUUAUAGUGUUUUUGCUGAAGUCAAACUAAUGCAUGAAAUAUGACUCGGUAUGAGAAAGAAAUUUUCAUCAUACACACUCCAUUAACGUAGUGAUGGCGUCAAUUUGUAAUAUUUUGGAUUUUUUUUUCAUUCGUA
This is a long non-coding RNA of Dendronephthya gigantea, 581 nucleotides long. RefSeq lists it as uncharacterized. The transcript is spliced from 2 exons. Lineage: Eukaryota; Metazoa; Cnidaria; Anthozoa; Malacalcyonacea; Nephtheidae. The record is from RefSeq and is a predicted model, not a curated record.